ACCUGCAUAGCAUAGUUGGUAUGUUGGUGGAAUUAUAUUAUAUAAUCCGAAGUUGCAUGUUCGAUUCGUGCUGCGCAGUUA
Non-coding RNA from Mycena rosella, 81 nucleotides. NCBI's taxonomy places the organism in Eukaryota, Fungi, Basidiomycota, Agaricomycetes, Agaricales, Mycenaceae. The record is from the annotation of a GenBank genome assembly.